CAAACGUGCUUACUCUUUCUCACACUUCUAUAAAUCCUUAGCAAAAGAGUGUUGCAACUAAACACCAACAAUAAAAACAUUCAUAGAUGUCUCAUGUAGCACUUUCUAAAGUGUCACAGCAGGGAAAAGGCUCUACCGGUGGUGACAACCUUCUGUAGCCCUACCCACCAAAUGGAGCUCCAAAAGUACCAUAGGACUUCCGAACCCUCCGUCUCUAUCACCCUUUCUGAGCUCAUAAAACGCGUCGAAGAUGCUCAAAGUGACCAUUCCAAUGGCAGCACUCCUAUCCGUCAUCAUGCCCUGGAGCUUGGCUAUGCUUGUAGCUCUGUGUCCCCUUCAAACCCUUUUGUUCUUUCUUUUAAUAACUUAUCAUACAGUGUCAAAGUUGGCCAAAAAUUGACUUUUCCAUUCUGUGGAAACGAUUCAGAUGACUCUCCUGAGACUGGCAUCAAGG
This 454-nucleotide unclassified non-coding RNA is filed under the name Hevea brasiliensis (rubber tree). Lineage: Eukaryota; Viridiplantae; Streptophyta; Magnoliopsida; Malpighiales; Euphorbiaceae. The record is from RNAcentral.